RNAcentral lists this non-coding RNA (158 nucleotides) under Halalkalibacter akibai. RNAcentral describes it as "Bacillus akibai GlcN6P sequence". It matches the Rfam family "glmS glucosamine-6-phosphate activated ribozyme aptamer". From Rfam's summary of the family: This entry contains a glucosamine-6-phosphate activated ribozyme that is found in the mRNA for GlmS. GlmS is an enzyme that uses fructose-6-phosphate and glutamine to generate glucosamine-6-phosphate. RNAcentral also lists the same sequence under 1 other name. Lineage: Bacteria; Bacillati; Bacillota; Bacilli; Caryophanales; Bacillaceae. The record is from RNAcentral.
AACUAUUUAAAAGCGCCUGAACUACAUGAGAUGUAGUUGACGAGGAGAGGGAGUAUCGAUGGAUCGGCGGAUGCCCUCCGGUUGUAGCAUGACAACCGUUAGACUUCUGGGAAAACAAGGAGGCAACUCUUUGCACAAAAACAGAAGUAAGCAUGCCU